CGGACGGGUGAGUAAUGUCUGGGAAACUGCCUGAUGGAGGGGGAUAACUACUGGAAACGGUAGCUAAUACCGCAUAACGUCGCAAGACCAAAGAGGGGGACCUUCGGGCCUCUCGCCAUCGGAUGUGCCCAGAUGGGAUUAGCUAGUAGGUGGGGUAAAGGCUCACCUAGGCGACGAUCCCUAGCUGGUCUGAGAGGAUGACCAGCCACACUGGAACUGAGACACGGUCCAG
Molecule: ribosomal RNA, 232 nt
Filed under: uncultured bacterium
Lineage: Bacteria
Description: partial 16S ribosomal RNA
Rfam family: Bacterial small subunit ribosomal RNA
Source: RNAcentral